This 55-nucleotide transfer RNA is filed under the name Caligus clemensi. Its description in RNAcentral is "tRNA-Lys". The record is from RNAcentral. Lineage: Eukaryota; Metazoa; Arthropoda; Copepoda; Siphonostomatoida; Caligidae.
UACAGAUUAAUUUAAUAAAUAAAUUUUAAAUAUAAUUAUUUAAAGCCUUAAGAGG